RNAcentral lists this ribosomal RNA (254 nucleotides) under uncultured bacterium. RNAcentral's name for it is "partial 16S ribosomal RNA". It matches the Rfam family "Bacterial small subunit ribosomal RNA", at positions 524 to 776 of the family's 1533-position model. The record is from RNAcentral.
GACGUAGGGCGCGAGCGUUGUCCGGAAUUAUUGGGCGUAAAGAGCUCGUAGGCGGCUUGUCGCGUCGACUGUGAAAACCCGUGGCUCAACCAUGCGGUCUGCAGUCGAUACGGGCAGGCUAGAAUUCGGUAGGGGAGACUGGAAUUCCUGGUGUAGCGGUGAAAUGCGCAGAUAUCGGGAGGAACACCGGUGGCGAAGGCGGCGACCUGGGUCGAUACUGACGCUGAGGCGCGAAAGCGUGGGGAGCAAACAGG